CUUUCCUCAAAAGGGACAUUUCCUAGCAGAACAGAGGUGGCAGUCAUCAGAUUUGCAAGUGAGACUCUCUUACAGGGGACAAACUCCAACAACUCCUGGGCCACUGGCAUUUCCUUUAACCAUUACACAUGGAACUUUCAACCCUUUUGCUAAUAUUUGACCACCAGAAAACACCAAAAUUCGACCUCAUUGGGAAGUUACAGGGACAAUUCCAGAUAGGACUGGGUUUAAAGUCAUAUCUUUGGGCUAUGAAAACCAUGCAUUUUCUUAAAUAUUUUUGCUCUCUCUGAAGUCUUUCAUUAAGAACAUUAAGAGACUGAAGACUAAAUAAAGUAUCAUUUUAUUUAACUCAUUGACUCCCUUUUUUCAACCCACUCUUCAUGAGUAUUCACCCCGUAUAAAGUUCUGAAUGGAUGGGGACAGCAUUUACCCAGACAAUUCAGAAUUAAUAGAAAAAAGGAUGCCAAUGAAUAGAAAAAGGAGUCAGACUGGUGACGAUGAAAAAUGCCAACCUUGGGACCUGAGAAAGCUGGGCAAAGGAUGGCACAGGGAGAGGGACAGGGCCUCACAGCCCUUCUCUUAAGUGAAUUGACCCUCCAAAUCUGCAAGCCUGCCUUUUGGGAGAGCAGCUACCCUCACCUCAUGCAAGAGUGGGCAGUGGUCUGAUUCCGGGGACAUCAUCCACUGGAUUACUGGUGGCUUCCAGAACAGCAAUUUUAUCCUGAAACCCAGGAGUACAUGAGACACAGCAGAAAGACAUCUGGCUUCUCAAGAGCCCAGGAAACUGGAAAUCCAUAUGGACUUGAACUAGAUCAGAUACAGAAGCAAAGAAAAUGACGAGCAGGUGAGAGGCUCAGCACCAUCUCCAUGUCCGUCUGCCAGAGCCCAGCCCAGCCCAGCCCAGCAUGACUGUCCCCUAACCCCUCAGCCUUCCUGCAGACAUCCCACAGCACAAACGUCCCCCCUCUGGCCGGAGCAGCACUGCCCCAUCCGUUGAUGAGAGGCCCCCGUCGCUCUCUGUCACACAGGUGCUGUGGCCUCCUGCACAUCCACCUCCUGAGGACAGUCUUUGCCACACACUGCCCAGGUUCAGGGGAUCGAAAUCCAUUUGCCCAGGCUAAAAAGCCCAGGAUAGGCCAGCAUGUCCCGGGGCUGCCUUUGUCAGUGCUACACACUGUCACCAACCCGCAUGGCUCCUUGCUACCUCCCCAGGGCAGCCCUUUGUACCAUGGGUGUGGAAGUGAGUUUUAUGUGGCAAUGAUGAAGGGGGAGUGAUUAUGGUUUGGAUAUUAGGUGUCCCCCGAAAGCUCAGUGUGAGACUGCAGUAGGCUUAGCAGGGAAAUGAUGGGGUUAUGAGAGCCUUAACCCAAUUAGUGAAGAAAUCCCCUGAUGGGGGCUGACUGAGUGGUAACUGAAGGCACAUGGGGUGUGGCUGGAGGAGGGGGCCCAUGGGGGUGUGCCUCUGGGGCUUAAAUUGUGUAUCUGGCAAGUGGAGUCUAUCUCUCUGCUUUCUGAUCAUCAUGUGAGCUGCUUCCCUCCACCACACUCUUCCUCCAUGAUGUUCAGCCUCACCUUGAGCCCUGAGGAACAGAGCCUGCUGUCUAGGGACUGAGACCUCUGAAACCAUGAGCCCCUAAAUAAACUUUUCCUCCUCUACAA
Molecule: long non-coding RNA, 1659 nt
Organism: Marmota monax (woodchuck)
Lineage: Eukaryota; Metazoa; Chordata; Mammalia; Rodentia; Sciuridae
Exons: 2
Source: RefSeq, a predicted model, not a curated record